CAGUCGCCGCGGUAAUACGUAGGGUGCAAGCGUUAAUCGGAAUUACUGGGCGUAAAGCGUGCGCAGGCGGUUUGUUAAGACAGAUGUGAAAUCCCCGGGCUCAACCUGGGAACUGCAUUUGUGACUGGCAAGCUAGAGUAUGGCAGAGGGGGGUGGAAUUCCGCGUGUAGCAGUGAAAUGCGUAGAUAUGCGGAGGAACACCGAUGGCGAAAGCAGCCCCCUGGGCCGAUACUGACGCUCAUGCACGAAAGCGUGGGGAGCAAACAGGAUUAGAUACCCGUGUAGUCCCUGUCUCUUAUAC
Molecule: ribosomal RNA, 301 nt
Filed under: uncultured bacterium
Lineage: Bacteria
Description: partial 16S ribosomal RNA
Rfam family: Bacterial small subunit ribosomal RNA
Source: RNAcentral